ACGGAGGGUGCAAGCGUUAAUCGGAAUUACUGGGCGUAAAGCGCGCGUAGGCGGUUAUUUAAGUCAGAUGUGAAAGCCCCGGGCUCAACCUGGGAAUUGCCUCUGAUACUGGGUAACUAGAGUUUGGAAGAGGAGAGUAGAAUUUCAGGUGUAGCGGUGAAAUGCAUAGAGAUCUGAAGGAAUACCAGUGGCGAAGGCGGCUCUCUGGUCCAAAACUGACGCUGAGGUGCGAAAGCGUGGGUAGCAAACGGG
This 252-nucleotide ribosomal RNA is filed under the name uncultured bacterium. Its description in RNAcentral is "partial 16S ribosomal RNA". It matches the Rfam family "Bacterial small subunit ribosomal RNA", at positions 525 to 776 of the family's 1533-position model. The record is from RNAcentral.